Molecule: long non-coding RNA, 291 nt
Filed under: Ricinus communis (castor bean)
Lineage: Eukaryota; Viridiplantae; Streptophyta; Magnoliopsida; Malpighiales; Euphorbiaceae
Description: long non-coding RNA (RCOM_LNC000466)
Source: RNAcentral
UUCAUAAUUGUUCAUCAUCACGUUUGUGAACGAACUAAAACUAAUCUCAGUUAAAUCUUUUUUUGUUUCUAUCUGCUGCUAUGAGUAUGACAGGUUCAGUGAAGUUGAUGGCAGCUCUCAAGUUUAUAUUUGGAAAAUUUAAGCCUAAGAAUUUACAUUACAAGAAGAUUGAUAAGACUGAGAGCAUGAGGAUGGAGAUGAGCCCAGAAGUUGGUUGCUAAAAAUUUGCAGAAAGCUGAUCUUAUUACAAUGAAAAAGAACUUUGGUUGUCUCUAAGACACUUGAAUUGGG